AGCGUAGGUGGCCUAACAUGUCAACUGUGAAAACCCGGAGCUCAACUCCGGACUUGCAGUUGAAACUGGUAGGCUUGAGGACGGUAGAGGAAGACGGAACUGCCAGUGUAGGGGUAAAAUCCUUAGAUAUUGGCAGGAACGCCGGUGACGAAGGUGGUUUUCUGGGCCGGUUCUGACACUGAUGCUUGAAAGCCAGGGGAGCGAACGG
This 208-nucleotide ribosomal RNA is filed under the name uncultured Mesotoga sp. RNAcentral's name for it is "partial 16S ribosomal RNA". It matches the Rfam family "Bacterial small subunit ribosomal RNA", at positions 568 to 775 of the family's 1533-position model. Lineage: Bacteria; Thermotogati; Thermotogota; Thermotogae; Kosmotogales; Kosmotogaceae. The record is from RNAcentral.